Long non-coding RNA from Ipomoea nil (Japanese morning glory), 274 nucleotides. RefSeq lists it as uncharacterized. The transcript has 2 exons. The record is from RefSeq and is a predicted model, not a curated record. Lineage: Eukaryota; Viridiplantae; Streptophyta; Magnoliopsida; Solanales; Convolvulaceae.
GUAGAGUGUGUAGAAGAUGUUGGGGUUGGCAAAAAUUCUGAGGUUUUCAGCCUGAAAAUCUCUUAUCACAGCUUCUUUUCCAAAGGUCUUAUGAUAAGAUGGUAAAUGGUUCUGAACUAGAAGCGAUAUGUUGUUAAGGAGAUUGGUUUUCUUAACAAGAUCAAGACCUAGCUAGCUGCUGUAAAAUCUGGAAACCAAAUGAACACAGUAGAUUGUUUUAGCUGAGAUUUCCAUGUAAAAAGGGAUGAAAGAAGAAAACUACCUGCCCUCCUUU